Molecule: transfer RNA, 94 nt
Filed under: Actinoplanes siamensis
Lineage: Bacteria; Bacillati; Actinomycetota; Actinomycetes; Micromonosporales; Micromonosporaceae
Description: tRNA-Pro
Source: RNAcentral
CCGCCGUGGCCGAAGCCAGGGCCGAGGGCCGGCGGAGGGCCCAGGGCCGGCGGACCGUGCCGGUCCGUCGCGGUUCUGCCGCCGAGGUGGCCGA